RNAcentral lists this long non-coding RNA (358 nucleotides) under Phoenix dactylifera (date palm). Its description in RNAcentral is "long non-coding RNA (PDAC_LNC014131)". The record is from RNAcentral. Lineage: Eukaryota; Viridiplantae; Streptophyta; Magnoliopsida; Arecales; Arecaceae.
CGGAGUCGGACGGUGGUUCUGCAGCCUUACCCUUACCAUCGCUUGGGGAAGAGUCAUGCUGACCAUGCUCGGGGCGGGGACCGCCCCUGGAAUUGACAGGGUCCCGCUCGGCCGGGGCCUCGGCGCGUCCCUCCUCGUAUCAUCCGGAGCCGACCGAGUCGAAGGCUGGGCUGGGGACCGAUCACGUCCAACCCGUCCAUCCCGGGCGCGCCCGGGUGAUGCCUCCGGAGAAACGGUAGUCUCGGCAUCGGAGGGCUGAUACAGCGUCAACUGCCGGUCCGCGCCCGCGGCGUCCCCCUGAUCGGCGGGUCCGGACCCGUCUGUCGGCGUCGGAGUCGCCUGCCGGCGGGACUUCUUC